This 490-nucleotide ribosomal RNA is filed under the name uncultured bacterium. RNAcentral describes it as "bacterial SSU rRNA". It matches the Rfam family "Bacterial small subunit ribosomal RNA", at positions 28 to 517 of the family's 1533-position model. The record is from RNAcentral.
GACGAACGCUGGCGGCGUGCUUAAUACAUGCAAGUCAACUUGACUUUAGAUAGCAAUAUCGAAAAGUAGGGUGGCGCACGGGUGCGUAACGCGUAGGUAAUCUGCCCUGAGGUCUGACAUAACCCGUCGAAAGGCGGGCUAACAUCAGAUGAUAUAUAAUCACGACAUCGUGGAAAUAUCAAAUCUUCGGAGCCUUGGGAUGAGCCUGCGUCUGAUUAGGUAGUUGGCGGAGUAAUAGCCCACCAAGCCUACGAUCAGUAGCUGGUCUGAGAGGAUGAUCAGCCACACUGGAACUGAGACACGGUCCAGACUCCUACGGGAGGCAGCAGUAAGGAAUAUUGCUCAAUGGGGGAAACCCUGAAGCAGCAACGCCGCGUGAAGGAUGAAAUACUUUUGUAUGUAAACUUCUGUAAGAUGGGAAAAAUAUUCUCCUCGGGAGAAUUGAUUGUACCAUCAGAGUAAGCCCCGGCUAACUACGUGCCAGCAGCCG